UCGUAAAUGAAGUUCAUUUUCUUCUCAUCAUUAGAGGACAGUGUCCAGCGAUUGCAGAAUUGAAGAAUCAUCAGUAUGAUUCAGAAUCUCCAUUCAAUGACUAAUUCAGUUAAGACAACCUUAGUUUAGCAGGCAGAUACAAGGAACUGCAGGUGCCGAUUACAAGAAAAGGCAUAACGCACUAAAGUAAGUCAGUGGGUCAGCCAGCAUCUUCAGGGAACACGGACAGGCAAUGCUUCACGUCAGGACCCUUCUUCAGACAGUGGGGUGGGGGGGGGGGGAAGAAAGCUAGAAGGUGGGGGAAGUCUGGCAAGUUAUAGGCACAUAUAGGUGAGGAUGAGGAAGUAGGAAGCUUGAUUGGCAAAUUGAUUGGACAAAGACCAGAGGCGAGGAAAAAAAAGUGCAGACAGAAAACGAGGAAGA
Long non-coding RNA from Amblyraja radiata (thorny skate), 423 nucleotides. RefSeq lists it as uncharacterized. The record is from RefSeq and is a predicted model, not a curated record. The transcript is spliced from 2 exons. Lineage: Eukaryota; Metazoa; Chordata; Chondrichthyes; Rajiformes; Rajidae.